GGAUUAGAUACCCUGGUAGUCCAUGCCGUAAACGUUGGGAACUAGAUGUAAGGCCUGUUCCACGGGUUCUGUGUCGUAGCUAACGCAUUAAGUUCCCCGCCUGGGGAGUACGGCCGCAAGGCUAAAACUCAAAGGAAUUGACGGGGGCCCGCACAAGCGGCGGAGCAUGCGGAUUAAUUCGAUGCAACGCGAAGAACCUUACCAAGGCUUGACAUAUACGAGAACGGGCGAGAGAUCGUCAACUCUUUGGACACUCGUAUACAGGUGGUGCAUGGUUGUCGUCAGCUCGUGCCG
RNAcentral lists this ribosomal RNA (294 nucleotides) under uncultured bacterium. Its description in RNAcentral is "partial 16S ribosomal RNA". It matches the Rfam family "Bacterial small subunit ribosomal RNA", at positions 775 to 1067 of the family's 1533-position model. The record is from RNAcentral.